This is a long non-coding RNA of Brassica napus (rape), 2224 nucleotides long. RefSeq lists it as uncharacterized. The transcript is spliced from 7 exons. The record is from RefSeq and is a predicted model, not a curated record. Lineage: Eukaryota; Viridiplantae; Streptophyta; Magnoliopsida; Brassicales; Brassicaceae.
GAACUUGGAUAUUGGAGGUUUGCAUUCUUAUUUUUUUCCAAAGUUAUAUUAAAGUUUCAUCUCCAUGAUUCUUUUUCUUCGUGAACAUGAAUUGCUUUUUUUCUUUUCUUUUCUUUUUCUUCUUUUCUCUAUCUAAUUUUUCUUGUAGCCGUUUAUAGAGAUGAAUUUGAAUCAGAACUUGAAAUUGGGUGUUUAUUUUUGUUAAAGAAUGUUUAGGUUAAUUUCAAAUUUAAUCUGAAUAUUUAGGUUACAAUCUCACUCAGACGACGGCGACGUUCCGUACAAUCCCCGCCGCAAAUGUCGCCGAGUUCGACAUAACGACGUCGUUUCUUCGAUUCCUUUGCAACUGAUUCUGAGAAGCUCCGGUCCAAUCAACGGUUUAGGUUUAUUUGCGUUCGAGAGGACGACGUCGUUUCCUCACCGGUUCUCAGAUUUGUUCAUGUUUAAUCAUCAGGGUAAUGAAUUUGUUCGAUUAAUUGGUUGUUUUUUUUUUCAAUUUUCAUCAUCACUAGUUUUUUUUCUCUUUCAGUUUUUCUUGUGGGAUUUUAGGUUUGCAGUUAUACAUAAUACAUCGCCAAAUUUCCAGAAAUCAUUUGGGAGGUGGUGUAACUUUACUCUUUUGAUUUUUAUAAUUUCACAAACUGUAUCUUUCUUUUGCAGUAAGAGCUCAGAAACUACGUAAUCUGAAAUGGGUUUUUCCCAAUCACUCAAAGUAAUACACAUCUGCAUGCAUUGAUAUGCAUUCAAACAUUCAUCAUGUGCAUUCAUACAUUUCAUCAUAUGUUAUUCAUACAUUCAUCAUAUACAUAUGCAUACAUCCACAAUAACAUACAUAUAUUAUAUGUGCUUACAUACAUACCCAACUUACUUCUUUCUUUUUUAGAUUUUUUGUACUUUACUUAUUUACAGCUUGCUUCUUUUUUAUUUUCUGUUUCUUCGUUGAUUCUUUGCUUCUUUGUCCUUAUUUUCUUUGUUGUCUAUUCUCUUUGCUUCCUUCCUUGGUUGUGUGUUUUCUUAGUUUCUUCCUUAAUUCCUUGGUUUCUUGAUUCAAUUGUUUGUAUACCUGCUUGCUCGAUAAGUUGGUUUCUAUUUCUUCUACAACGGAUGGAUCCUGUAAAGCAUCUGACACUUCUUCUCGUGAUAUAUACUUUUACUCAACUGACCUUUUUAUAUCUGCCUUCUCUCUAACUUAUUCAGUUUCUGAAUGCAAGAUAUUACCCCGGAGUCUUAGAAAAACGGCUAGAUCACAUUAGCAGGAUCCACGGAAGUAAGCGUCAGUAGUCCCAAAGAGAUGGCUUGGCUGCUUGCCUUGACCAAUCAGUCCAUGUGACUUAUAAUCUUGUAUCUUUAUUAUUUCAGUGUUUACUAAUUAAACGUCAUAUUGGGCACUGCAAUCAUAAAGUCUGUUUGUCUUGUAGUCGUUCACAUGCCAUUUUCACUAUCACUGUGGAACAAAUGCGCAAGAUCAAUACAGAUUCUCCUGAAAAUGGUAUUUACAAUGGGAGCUUGAAAGAAGAGUAUCUUUGUGCCAAGUUGCACAUAGUGUACGUUGCCGGUUCAGAACGAGCCAAUAGAACUGGUUCUGACGGUAUGAAAGUUAAAGAAGGAGUUUACAUAAAUAAAGGCUUCCUUGCGCUGGGUAAUGUCAUCACUGCGCUUGAAGAUGAGAGAAAGCGUAAAGAUGGUGCUCAUGUUCCUUACAGAGAGUAAACUUACACAUAAAUUAAGCUUGCAUCAGUACUGCAGAUAUUAAUGCUGAGGAAACACUUAACACAGUUAAAUAUGCAAUCCGUGCUCGAAACAUCCGGAACAAACCUGUUGUUAAUAGAGAUCAUGUGUCCAGUGAGAUGCUGAAAAUGCGCCAACAGCUAGAGUACUUGCAGGCAGAGCUUCCCUUACGGAAUGGAGGAUCCUCAUGUGCAAACUCUAGAAACGCUAAUGAAGACCUUUGCCGUGAACUCCAUCAGUGUCGUAGCAGAUAUGCUGGUGUAAAGCAUUAUGAAAAGACUUUAAAGACAUACAAUAUGAUGAAAUCAUCGGUCUCGUCAAACCUGAUGGGCUAAAAAAGAGCUUGCACAGUAUGGAGUCGUCCAAUUGUGCUAUGGUUGAAGCCACAAUAGGUGAUUCAAGGGAAAUAGAUGAAGAGGCAAAGGAGUGGGAGCACAAACUCUUGCAAAGUAGUAUGGAUAAAGAGUUGCAUGAACUGAACCGUUGUCUGGAGGAA